AUGCUCAUGCAUUGUUCUAUCAAGGAUGAGAUGGGGUUCUUUGAACGUUACUGCGCUAGCAUGUACGAUGAUAUCCAACAUGGGUUGCGUCGUGCCCUAGGUAAUCUAAACUAUGUUGUUCCUCCUGAAAAAUUGAGAAAUAUGCUUCUUGAUGAGUUGGCUGACAUUUUCUUGAAACGUGAUUCUGAUAUAAGAAGUUUUAACUUGCCGUCUCGCUCUGGCGAAGGUGAGCAGUCUGAUGAUAAUCGUCUAAUUCGUGAGGAACUGUCUUAUGAUGCAUGUGCUCUGUCUAAACAGUCCUUGGUUAUGUUUGAUAGUUUAAAUGAGGACCAAUUGGUUGCUUAUAAGACGAUUGUAGAGUGUGUGCAGGCGGGGAGACCGGGCUUUUUUUUGUCUCUGGAUAUGGUGGUACUGGGAAGACAUACCUGUGGAGUGCAAUAUGUGCUUUCCUUAGGGGCGAGAGGAAGAUAG
RNAcentral lists this ribosomal RNA (471 nucleotides) under Triticum aestivum (bread wheat). Its description in RNAcentral is "partial small subunit ribosomal RNA". Lineage: Eukaryota; Viridiplantae; Streptophyta; Magnoliopsida; Poales; Poaceae. The record is from RNAcentral.